UACGAAGGUGGCUAGCGUUGUUCGGAAUUACUGGGCGUAAAGCGCUCGUAGGUGGAUUGUUUAGUGAAGGGUGAAAUCCCAGGGCUCAACCCUGGAACUGCCUUUCAUACUGGCAAUCUCGAGUCCGGAAGAGGUGAGUGGAAUUCCGAGUGUAGAGGUGAAAUUCGUAGAUAUUCGGAGGAACACCAGUGGCGAAGGCGGCUCACUGGUCCGGUACUGACGCUGAGGUGCGAAAGCGUGGGAGCAAACAGG
RNAcentral lists this unclassified non-coding RNA (252 nucleotides) under uncultured Alphaproteobacteria bacterium. Its description in RNAcentral is "contains 16S-23S intergenic spacer region". It matches the Rfam family "Bacterial small subunit ribosomal RNA", at positions 524 to 776 of the family's 1533-position model. Lineage: Bacteria; Pseudomonadati; Pseudomonadota; Alphaproteobacteria. The record is from RNAcentral.